RNAcentral lists this unclassified non-coding RNA (108 nucleotides) under Chryseobacterium wanjuense. Its description in RNAcentral is "Flavo-1 RNA". The record is from RNAcentral. Lineage: Bacteria; Pseudomonadati; Bacteroidota; Flavobacteriia; Flavobacteriales; Weeksellaceae.
UCCUAGCCCAGAUAGAAACGGUUACCCCGCAACUUGGGUAGGAGAGUUGGAGGGUUGGGAGAUGGAAAGCACUGGCGUGAGGAGUAAGAGUGGAUAGCUGGAAAUAGC